GUUAAUCGCGGGCCAGGAGCUGUGGGAAUACGUAGGUAGCAAGCGGUGUUCGGAAUUGCUGGGCGUAAAGAGUGUGUAGGCGGUGCUCUAAGGCGGUCGUGAAAUCGCCCUGCGCAACUGGGAGGGUGCGGCGGAAACUGGAGUGCUCGAGGAUGGGAGAGGUAAGCGGAAUUCCUGGUGUAGCGGUGAAAUGCGUAGAUAUCAGGAGGAACACCUGUGGUGUAGACAGCUUACUGGACCAUUUCUGACGCUGAGACACGAAAGCGUGGGUAGCAAACAGGAUUAGAUACCCGGGUAGUC
This 300-nucleotide ribosomal RNA is filed under the name uncultured Hydrogenivirga sp. RNAcentral describes it as "partial 16S ribosomal RNA". It matches the Rfam family "Bacterial small subunit ribosomal RNA", at positions 496 to 795 of the family's 1533-position model. Lineage: Bacteria; Pseudomonadati; Aquificota; Aquificia; Aquificales; Aquificaceae. The record is from RNAcentral.